RNAcentral lists this non-coding RNA (47 nucleotides) under Candidatus Accumulibacter. RNAcentral describes it as "Guanidine-II sequence". It matches the Rfam family "Guanidine-II riboswitch aptamer (mini-ykkC)". From Rfam's summary of the family: Simpler in structure and has fewer highly conserved nucleotide positions than the ykkC-yxkD leader. Despite this each of its two stem-loop structures directly bind free guanidine. Therefore, mini-ykkC RNA motif represents a distinct class of guanidine-sensing RNAs. The record is from RNAcentral. Lineage: Bacteria; Pseudomonadati; Pseudomonadota; Betaproteobacteria.
AAGUGGGGACGACCCCACCGCUCCAUGACGCAUCGGGGACGGCCCCA